GACCGGGUCUUAGUAUAUACGAGUUUUUUAAAAAAGAAAAAAAAGGAGCAAUACCGCCCUCUUGAUAGAACAAGAAAGGGGUUAUUGCUCCUUUUUUUUCUUUUUUUUAGUAGUAUUUACCUAGUUUGUUUAAAAAAAUUGAGACAAACGUUUUUUUUUCUGUUUAUGGGUUCGUUCAUGAUUGAGUAUCAUACUUUCAUUUUAUACAAUUUGGCUACCUUCUUCCCAACAUUUUGGGAAGGAUUUCUUAAAAAAAAUGUUGUAAAUUUUUACUUAUUUUAAAUUGAAGACUUUUUUAUCUAAAAAAAAUCUUUUUGAAUGAUCAAAAAGGAAUCUUUUGAAAUGCAAAUAAAAGAAAACUAGGG
Molecule: unclassified non-coding RNA, 365 nt
Filed under: Eleutherospermum cicutarium
Lineage: Eukaryota; Viridiplantae; Streptophyta; Magnoliopsida; Apiales; Apiaceae
Description: psbA-trnH intergenic spacer
Source: RNAcentral